RNAcentral lists this ribosomal RNA (228 nucleotides) under uncultured bacterium. RNAcentral's name for it is "partial 16S ribosomal RNA". It matches the Rfam family "Bacterial small subunit ribosomal RNA", at positions 568 to 795 of the family's 1533-position model. The record is from RNAcentral.
UCCGUAGGCGGGCUAAUAAGUCAGGGGUGAAAUACCACAGCUUAACUGUGGAACUGCCUUUGAAACUGUUAGUCUUGAGUUAUAUGGAAGUAGAUAGAAUGUGUAGUGUAGCGGUGAAAUGCAUAGAGAUUACACAGAAUACCGAUUGCGAAGGCAGUCUACUACGUAUAUACUGACGCUAAUGGACGAAAGCGUGGGGAGCGAACAGGAUUAGAUACCCUGGUAGUC